GUUGGAGUAUGGUCACAUGGCUGAAACGUAAAGAAAUUGACGGAAGGGCACCACCGGGAGUGAAGCUUGCUGUUUUAUACGAUUCAACACGAGAAAACUUAUGAGGGUCCAAACAUAGCAAGGUUUGACAGAUUGAAAGAUUUUCUUGAUUCUGUGAGAGGUGGUGGAUGGCCGUUCCUAGUUGAUGGAGUGAUACGUCUGAUUAAGUUGCUAACGACCGAGACCUCCGCGUGCUAAAUAGUCCCCCUUACCAUUUUUGGUAGUUUGCGGACUUAUAUUAAAAAGGAAGAUUUUGAGCAAUUAGACCAAAGAAAAUUGGAGGUAAUAACAGGUCUGUGAUGCCCUUAGACCGCUCGCGUGCUCCACUGAUGAAUUUAACGAGCAUAUAAAAUUGAUCGAUGGGUCUAGGUAAUCUUGUGAAUGCGCAUCGUGCUAGGAAUAGACUGUUGCAAUUUUUGUCUUGCAGUGAGUGCAAGUCAUCAGCUUGCAUGUCAUUUGUACACAAUGCCAGUCGCACCUACCUAUUGAAUGACUCGGUGAAAAAUUAAGAUCGUGGUUUUGCUUGCUUCAUUGCGAGUCAAAUGAUGGGACCUUUUUUAAACCCCGCCAUUUAGCGGAAGGUAAAAUCGAAAUAAGGUUUCCGUAGGUGAACCUGCGGUAA
This 661-nucleotide non-coding RNA is filed under the name Plasmopara halstedii. Its description in RNAcentral is "Eukaryotic small subunit ribosomal RNA". It matches the Rfam family "Eukaryotic small subunit ribosomal RNA", at positions 1117 to 1823 of the family's 1831-position model. Lineage: Eukaryota; Oomycota; Peronosporomycetes; Peronosporales; Peronosporaceae. The record is from Rfam by way of RNAcentral.